UGGGGCCUCUCCAUUUUCUGCAUCCAGAAUGAACAUCUAAUCAAGAUCUUGCCAGUAGGACUGUGUAUGGAUUCUUCAUUAGUUAUUUGAUUUGUACCAGCAGCAACACAACGGGCAACUAUUCUUUUGCACCUUUGGGAAGCGGAUAAAGAGGGAUAAUAGCAGAGGUAGAUGGUAACCUUCAAUCGCAGGGUUUUUGCUGAUGGAAACCUCAACUUUACAGCUUAGGAAGUAGCACUCAAGUUCCAGUGAGCUGUUGAGACUUGAAUGAGAAGAUGUUCAUGAACAUGUCUGAUAAACUGCUGCACAAAAAUGAAAGUUUCCAGUGGCUAAACAAAAGUUCCAGAAGCAAGAAAUUUCCAACAGGAAAUACAGAGCCAAAGAAAAGGCAAGUGAACCACCAAGAAUGUGAGCCGGUAUGUCCAUGGCGUUUGCGCAUUUGUGCUGCAGCCACAAGAUACCGAAGUGUCAGUGACUUGCCACACAUAGAAACUUUGUUUUUGCUUUUUUCUACAACUAUACUUUUGCUUUUUCUCAUGAAAUUCCCAAAAGGGAUGUUCCUGCUUAUGUAGCUCCCCAGGGCAGUUCCCUUCCAGGGGAAGAUCCAGGGACAUAGAUGCUUCUAUCUGGUGGCCUCCUCAUUCCCCAGCAUGAAAGUAAAGAGCGUAGUAAACAUCACUGAGGAAGUUAGAGGGACUGAGCCAGGAAGGGGCUUGCGUGACUUCUACCCAUGUUCCUCUAACAGGGCUGUGUCAGAUGGGCUCCCUUAUAAGGGUGGCUCGGAGAGAUCAUCUUUCUCGGUAACCAGGUUAAGGCGUGUAAGACUGGGGACAGAGGCUUUCACAAGUACCAUGGUAGUAUUAUCUCUGCCACAGUGAGCAAAUACCCAUUUUAUCACCACAUGAGCUUAUAGACUAUGCUCACUCUUUCCUUAAGAGAACAUAUCAGGGUCUUACUGAAUCACUGCUCUAGCUCAAAACCCAGAUCUCUCCAGUGAUGUGUGACUACUUUUCCAUUUUCUUCAUCUGUAGAUACAAAGAUGACUACCAAGCAACCUUUAAUUAAAAAGAUAGCUGAUCUAGUUCCCCAGCAUAUUCAAGAUAUAAUGUUAGACAGGGAUAGGAUGACAGCAGCAAACAGGUGAGCACGGCACUGCAAUUGCUGGUGCAUAGCAAUGAUGAGAUUCUGGAAAGCAGACACUGGAUGGCUCUUUGUGCUGGGUGCUGAGGGAGUUCUUUGGCUAAAUCCUAACUCUGUUCUUCAAGAAGAACCCUUGUCUGUCAUUUCCCCAGGACCCUUGGCUCUGUCCUUUGGAAGUCCAUUCUUGUCUACUGUCCCCCUCAGCUUCCAUGGAGAUCAGAAUUGGGGAGGACACUCAGCUUACCUACAGUGAAAUGUGUGCAGCUGACUUCUUGCUCUCAAGGCAAGCCCGAAUGCUGUAUGAGGUGUUUAGCACUCAACGGCAUUUUUCGCUGGAACUUAAUGCUUUCUUUCUUUGCAUAUGCAUUUUUCUUAAAAACAUACAUUCUAGCUUCUAGUUAGUUCUAUAUACCACAAACCAGUCUCAUAAUUCUUUUUUAGACGUAACUUUUCUCACGUCUGUCUUACUUCUUUCCUUCCUCAUUCACAAAUUUACUCUCUCAAUUUAAAGGAAAUUACACUGAGGCUGAUAGGAGUGGGAAGACCACAAGUGUUCAUCGGGUUCAUUUUUCAUAUCCUUUAAAGUCCUGUUCCUUACUGUUUGGGGUCUAGAAGCAAUCCUGAAAGACCCCAAGUUUGUUUGUUUGUUUGAUUGUUUUGAGACAAGCUCUCACUAUGUAGUGCAGGCUGGCCUUGAACUCACUCAUGUAACUCAGGUUGGCCUCUGACACACAGCAAUCUUCCUGCCUUGGCCUCCCAAAUGCUGGGAUUUCAGGUAUGUGCCACCAUGCCUGGCUGUCCAAGUUUUUUGAUGGUAUCCAUUUCUUCUCUUUUUCUCUUAGUAGUCAGCAGUCUUUGUUGAGCUCAUGUUUUUCUUAUAAUGCAUUGUCGAACCCACAUGAUAACAGACAAUAUAGAGGGAUGCUUAGAAGCGUAUACAAUUAUCAUGUGAGAAUCACAGCUAAGGAUGUAGAUUGUAGCUGGUGUGGUUGAAUGUUUGGAGAGUCUGAGAAAAGACUUUCCUUCAGGCACAUUACACAAGAAUUAGAAAGCUGUGCCCGCUCCAUGUUAGUGGUAAAUCUGCCAACAUUCUCUUAGUUGUUGAGCUCUGGGGAGUUAGAAAAAGAAAUGGAGGACAUAGUCUCUAAAUUAAAGGAGGUUGCCAAUGCUACACAAUGAAGCAUUCAUUGUACACAUCUAUCAUCUAUUUUUCUAUCUAAUCUUAACCCAUAUAUCUUCCAUAAGCAUAUCAGAGACACAACUAUAUUUUCUGAACCAAAAAUUGGGACAUAUGGCCUAUCAUUGAGAAUGCACUUUUGAGAACAGUGGAACAGGACGUUUGAAGUUGUAAUUGACUCAGGAAAUCCAGGGCAUUUGGUUGCUAGACAUACUAUCUGGGUUGAAAAAUGAGGUUUGAAGAAAGGCUGAAGUGAAAGCCCAAAAGAGAUAAGCCAGGAGGAAAUUAGAAGUCUCUCCCCUGCCAGUGUUUGAUGGAGAAUCUAGUGUUAACCUAAAAAUGGGAACUGACAGGAACAGAACGUCUAAACAAAUGUGCACAAUUCUGUGCAUUUCAUUCCUCACAUACCUUACUGUCCAAUUAGAGUUUCAUUCUCUCAUUUAUUUUCCUCUGCUUUUGUAUUUAACAAAUGGUUUCUGAGCAGAGCCUACACAGGCAUUAUGUUAGAUAUGAUGGUCACUGGGGAAGCAAAGCAAUCUUUGCCUCACCUUUUUAGCCUAGUUAGGGAGAUAGGCAUUAGUCUGUUAUCCUAUAAAUUAACAUGCAACAAAUCUCUGAUAAAGACUAUAAAGGUCAUUAUAGAAUACUACAGGUUGUGUAGGAAGGACCUAGUCCACCCUGGUGAGGGUGAUAAAAGGCUUCCUGGAGGGAGGGAGUCUGAGCAGAAGAUUCCAGGUGGGGGAAGGAAGUGAGAAGGUGACAGAAGUAGGCGGUGCGCAGACUCUCCAGGCACAUAGCCCUGGAGGAGUGAGCUAGGAAAACAGAUUGCAUGGGCCUUCCAAACCUGGUGCAAACGGAGACAGUCAUAUCACGCAAAGCAGGGAGCAGGUUGGUGAGGUGCAGUGAAUGACUGAGGUCUGUAGUUUUAAAAAAUGAGAUACAAUGCAAAGAGUCUUCCUUAGGAGAGAGACAGGAUCAAGUUGGCCUUUGAAGGAAUUACUCUGGUUAAGGAGGGAGAAAGGAGUAGAUGUGAGGGGAUCACUUAGGAUCUUGUUCAUUAUUCCCAAGAGUGAUCAUGGUGGCUUGGUUUGUAAAGCCCUUCCUGAUUUGACCAUGCCAACCUGUUAUGGUUUGUGUCUGGGUGUCACUCCAAAGCCACAUGCAGUCACGGGGUGGGCUUUUCGAGUUUAUGAUUGAUACACAAUCCAAGGCUGGGAUUAUGGGUGUGAGUGCUACACCUGCCCUGGGGCAGAGAGUUUGCAUGUGUAAGGGAGAGAAAGAGGCUCCUUACCACCCCUCCCCCUCCCUUUUGCUCUUGCUGUUUUCACUAUCUUCCACCACCAUGAACUCUGCCAUGUGCCGCUCUGCCUUGGAGCCAGCUGAGUAUGGACUGAAACCGCCAUUAACUGUAAGAUAAAUAAUCUUUCCUUCCUUAAUUCUGGGUAUUUUGUCCCAGCAACGAGAGAAAAUUAACCAAGACACUACCUCGCCACUCUCCCCAUCCACACUGAGCUUUCUAAGUAGGCUCCUAUCUCAUACUUUGCAACUAUUGCUUCUUUCUUCUGUAACAACCUUCUGUCCUCCUCCAGUUCCUCCACCUCCUUCUGUGUUUCCUGGAUAAUUCAUAUUCAUUUCUCAAAUUAGUUUAUUUCUAAUCUAGGAAGCGUUGCCUGACAUCUCUCUGAUGUUCCAUCUCCUUAACUCUUUCUCCAGAGCUGACUUGGAAAUUCCUCCUACUCAGUUCUAUAGUCUCAUUUGCAUACACCUGCAGCUUCCUACAGAAUCAUUUACAUACAUUGGUGGUAGCCCAUACUGAACUAUAUUACAUUUGUUUUCUUGUUUAUUGUACUAGGGGGCCAUUAAGUAAGAAUGAUAUCUGUCUUAUUUUAACCUACCACAUAAUAUGUACUCAAUAAAUGUUUAAUUAAAUUUCAUAAUAACCAUGUACCUAAAUAUCCUAAAUAUUUUAAGGUACGUGGAUGUUUUUCUCACUAUUCUCAUAUCAAAAUCACAUUUUAAUAGUGUAAUAUUUGGAAGUUAAUGAGUUAAGCUUCCAUUUACUAAUUUCGAAAAAAAAACAUGUAUAUUAUACUCCUUGUGAAGAGAUAGUAGUUGAUGAACUUGGCUUGCAACACAGUACUCAUUUUGAUGAACUUACUCAUUGACAUUUUAUUAUAAAUAGAAAGUGAAAAAUACAUAGCUUUAUUCUCCUGACAGUAUGAUAUACUGACUGGCUGCUGUUGUUGUCCUGAUCCUGGAACUGUAGUCAUUAAAAAAAUGAAUAAAGUGCCAAC
Chinchilla lanigera (long-tailed chinchilla) is the source of this 4611-nucleotide long non-coding RNA. NCBI's taxonomy places the organism in Eukaryota, Metazoa, Chordata, Mammalia, Rodentia, Chinchillidae. The record is from Ensembl.